GUGGCUGCAGGCCAGCUGCUCUGAUUCUGCUCUGCGUGUCUUCAAGCUGGCGCUCGAGCUGAAGGAACUGCCCUUGUGUGGGAGAUGGGAUCUCGUGGCAGAGGACACACAGCUGCUUCUAGAUGGUGCUCGUAUCCGUCUGCACGGGCAGCAGGAAGGAAGUGCUCCCUAGAGAACCAGGCAGGGAGCUGAAGGCAGUGAGGGAGUGCAGUGGAACAGGCUCAGCAGGGAGAAGAGGAGGAACCAGGAAUUGAGAGAGGAAGUCUGCUUCUAGCUUGGCACUGGACGGACACGUGAGCUGAGGGACAUGGACCUGCUUACUAUCCUCUAGCCAUGAACACCUGAGGAGUCAUGCUGCGGAGAAGUAUGUUAAGUAAGCUGCUCCAUGGGAAUACAGGGAACAUUAAUAUAGAUGAAUAAAUUAAAAGUUUGCAGAGCACUUACGAGCUUCUCAAACAAAAGGUAAAGAAUAAAACUAAUAAAAGCAUUAUGAUUACACAAAAGGUCAGGCUACAACAGAAAAAAGAAUCUGAGAACAUCGCAGCAUCAGAGUUAUCAGCAAAGGUCCCAUAACUUCUCUUUUAAUU
Molecule: long non-coding RNA, 587 nt
Organism: Fukomys damarensis (Damara mole-rat)
Lineage: Eukaryota; Metazoa; Chordata; Mammalia; Rodentia; Bathyergidae
Exons: 3
Source: RefSeq, a predicted model, not a curated record